This 65-nucleotide transfer RNA is filed under the name Marmota monax (woodchuck). RNAcentral describes it as "tRNA.Ala". The record is from RNAcentral. Lineage: Eukaryota; Metazoa; Chordata; Mammalia; Rodentia; Sciuridae.
GGUUAGCUCAGUGGUAGAGCACUUGCCUAGCCUGCACAAGGCCCUGGGUUCAACUCCCAACACCA